UUCCGGUUGAUCCUGCCGGACCCUACUGCUAUCGGGGUGAGACUUAGGCAUGUUAGUCGUACGCCUCCCAGCCGCUGGGGGAGGAGUGGCGGACAGCUCAAUAACACGUAGUUAACCUGCCCUCAGGACAGAGAUAACCUUGGGAAACUGGGGUUAAUCCCUGAUAGAUGAGGCAGCCUGGAAUGACUCCUCAUCGAGAAGAUGUUGGAACCGUGCUUCCAAUGUCGCCUGAGGAUGAGACUACGGCCGAUCAGGUAGUUGGUGAGGUAACGGCUCACCAAGCCUAUAACCGGUACGGGCCGUGAGAGCGGUAGCCUGGAGAUGGGCACUGAGACAAGGGCCCAGGCCCUACGGGGCGCAGCAGUCGCGAAACCUCCGCAAUGCGCGAAAGCGUGACGGGGUUACCCCGAGUGUCACCUGCUGAAGGUAACUUUUCCUCAGUCUAACCAGCUGAAGGUAAUAAGGGGAGGGCAAGUCUGGUGUCAGCCGCCGCGGUAAUACCAGCUCCCCGAGUGGUAAGGACGAUUAUUGGGCCUAAAGCGUCCGUAGCUGGCUUGAUAAGUUUCCCGUUAAAUCCGACGAUCCAAUCGUCGGGCUGCGGGAAAUACUGUUAAGCUAGGAGGCGGGAGAGGCCGGCGGUACUUUUGGGGUAGGGGUGAAAUCCUAUAAUCCUAGGAGGACCACCAGUGGCGAAAGCGGUCGGCUAGAACGCGCCCGACGGUGAGGGACGAAAGCUGGGGUAGCGAACCGGAUUAGAUACCCGGGUAGUCCCAGCCGUAAACGAUGCAGCUAGUGUUGGAUUGGCUACGAGCCACUCCGGUGCCGCAAGGAAGCUGUUAAGCCUGCCGCCUGGGAGUACGUCGCAGACUGAACUUAAAGAUGCGGGGAGCACACAGAGUGAGCUGCGUUAUGAUCACGCG
This 920-nucleotide ribosomal RNA is filed under the name uncultured archaeon. RNAcentral's name for it is "bacterial SSU rRNA". It matches the Rfam family "Archaeal small subunit ribosomal RNA", at positions 1 to 908 of the family's 1478-position model. The record is from RNAcentral.